Capra hircus (goat) is the source of this 1538-nucleotide long non-coding RNA. RefSeq lists it as uncharacterized. The transcript has 3 exons. Lineage: Eukaryota; Metazoa; Chordata; Mammalia; Artiodactyla; Bovidae. The record is from RefSeq and is a predicted model, not a curated record.
CACACACUCCCAUGGAGACACACACAGUCACACACACACACACACACACACACACACACACACACACGGCUCUCUUUGACGACUGGAGACUUUGCCCCAGGCAGAACAGCUGGCUGGCAGUGCUGACUGAGGAGUUGGACUGAAGAACCUCUGGUCGAGCGGAAACCAGUAUUCCAUGAAGUUUAAGAUGGGCUGCCUCGGGGGGCACCUCAUGGGGACAGUCUCAGGAGGCCAGGAACUGGCUGCUGUCUGCCUGGCCAGAGGAGGCCCAGAGUGGGAAGCAGGCUUUUGGCAGUCGAGACUCUCUGUGGGGAGGGGACACACAGUCUGCAGAGGCUGGGGACCUCAUAAAAUACCUCCUCUUUCUAACGCAGAACGUGUGCCAAGAGGGCCCCUUUUCUCCUUGGCGAGGCCUGGCUAAUAGGAGAGGAUAUAUUAAAAAAAAAAGCAGAUAGAAUGGCCCGUUUCAGUCCAGGAAAACCACCCUACACAGGCGAGUGUUGUCCGUGGACGCACGCCUCCUGGCCGGUCCAGGGCCGCUGUCCGCACACACCUGCAGGCUGUCCUUUGCAUCACUGUCCCGAAUCCCAGGCUGUGGUCCAGGGAGGUGGGCUCUCGGGCUCCGUGUGAGUGGAUGCUGGGGCAGGCCAUGUUUAUUCUGGCUGCCAGGGUUGGGUGGAAAUGCAGGCGAGGGCCAAGGCUGGGAAUGUGGCAGGAACACUGCUGGGGUGGGGUGGAUGGGGUGUAACCCAAGAGAGCUCGGGUGGAGGCCUGGGGUGAGGGUAAGGGUGGGAGUGGGGAGGUGGGGGGGGGGCCAGCAGUCAUCACCUGCCUCCUUCUGCCUUCUGCUUGGUCAAAUGAUUCUAAACCAGGGUGUGGGUAUUGUUGUCAGGAUGGUUCUGGCCGUGGCAAGGCUGUGUUCCAAUCCAGGCUAUGCCACUUAUUAGCUGUGCAAGUUAGGGCAGAUUAUUUCCCUUUCUGAGCCUCGGUGUUGUCAUCCUUGAAAUGGGAAUUUUGCCACCCACUGGAUGAUGUCUUUGUUUUUUAAAUUUUUUAUUUUGUAUUGGGGUAUAGCCAAUUAACAGACAAUGUUAUGACAGUUUCAGGUGAACAGGGAAGGGAUUCAGGAAUAUAUAUGCUUACACAUGUACCCAUUCUCCCCCAAAGUCCCCUUCCAUCCAGGCUGCCACAUAGCAUUGAGGUGAGUUCCCUAAAUACAACAGUGUGUACAAGUCCAUUCCAAACUCCCUAUCCCUUUCCCCCUGCAUUUUUCCUCCCCAGCAAGUUCGUUCUCUAGGUCUGUGAGUGAGAUCGCGUCUUUAAGUGGGCCGAUGUCUGGCAAGAAGAGGGCGCCCAUUAGGUGUUCUUCUUCCUGGUUUCAUGUCCCCAAAGAACACGCUAUCUAGGUUCCCUUGAGGUAGGAUCUAUAUUCCCCAUGUACAUCUGUGGAAUUGAACAUCAAGCAGCUUGGCCAAGGUCAGGGGACCUGUGAGUGGCAGAAGGCUGAGCGCUGAAGAAUUGAUGCUUUUGAACUGUAG